This 1173-nucleotide ribosomal RNA is filed under the name Xylariomycetidae sp. genotype 542. Its description in RNAcentral is "eukaryotic LSU rRNA". The stretch from base 594 to 1173 matches the Rfam family "Eukaryotic large subunit ribosomal RNA", at positions 1 to 592 of the family's 3401-position model. The record is from RNAcentral. Lineage: Eukaryota; Fungi; Ascomycota; Sordariomycetes.
GGAUCAUUACAGAGUUGCAAAACUCCAAACCCAUGUGAACAUACCUCGUGUUGCCUCGGCGGCGAGCGUAGUGCUCGGGUAGGUGCCUACCCGGUACCUACCCUGUAGUUACCCUGUAGUCUCCUACCCUGGAGCUGCGAGGUACCUACCCUGGAGCUACCCUGUAGUAACCUACCCGGUAGCUACCCUGGAGGACAUGCGCAUCCGCCGGAGGACCACUCAAACUCAAACUCUUGUUUCUGUGUGGCACAUCUGAGUAAUUAUACUUAAUAAGUCAAAACUUUCAACAACGGAUCUCUUGGUUCUGGCAUCGAUGAAGAACGCAGCGAAAUGCGAUAAGUAAUGUGAAUUGCAGAAUUCAGUGAAUCAUCGAAUCUUUGAACGCACAUUGCGCCCAUUAGUAUUCUAGUGGGCAUGCCUGUUCGAGCGUCAUUAAGUCCAUUAAGCCUAGUUGCUUAGCGUUGGGAGCAUUACCGUACGGUAACUCCUCAAAGUCAGUGGCAGGGUUACGGUACACUCUAAGCGUAGUAGAUUUCUUUCUCGCUUUUGUUGUGGCCGCGGCCGUUGCCAUAAACCUAUACUUUUUAGUUGGUUGACCUCGGAUCAGGUAGGAAUACCCGCUGAACUUAAGCAUAUCAAUAAGCGGAGGAAAAGAAACCAACAGGGAUUGCCUUAGUAACGGCGAGUGAAGCGGCAACAGCUCAAAUUUGAAAUCUGGCCCCAGGCCCGAAUUGUAAUUUGUAGAGGAUGCUUUUGGUGCGGUACCUUCCGAGUUCCCUGGAACGGGACGCCUUAGAGGGUGAGAGCCCCGUACGGUUGGAUGCCUAGCCUCUGUAAAGCUCCUUCGACGAGUCGAGUAGUUUGGGAAUGCUGCUCUAAAUGGGAGGUAAAUUUCUUCUAAAGCUAAAUACCGGCCAGAGACCGAUAGCGCACAAGUAGAGUGAUCGAAAGAUGAAAAGCACUUUGAAAAGAGGGUUAAAUAGUACGUGAAAUUGUUGAAAGGGAAGCGCUUAUGACCAGACUUUUGCCCUGCGGAUCAUCUGGUGUUCUCACCGGUGCACUUCGCUUGGUUUAGGCCAGCGUCGAUUUUGGUAGGGGGAUAAAGGCUCGGGAAACGUGGCUCUUCCGGGAGUGUUAUAGUCCCCUGCGUAAUACCCUUACCGGGAUCGAGGU